GGGGGUCUGGUUUAGGGGUAUAACAUUCCUUUCGCACAUCACUAGCUAGCUAGUCAGUACAUUAGGAAAGGUCUUGGGUUCGAUUCCCAAGUCCUCCA
Molecule: non-coding RNA, 98 nt
Organism: Ciborinia camelliae
Lineage: Eukaryota; Fungi; Ascomycota; Leotiomycetes; Helotiales; Sclerotiniaceae
Source: the annotation of a GenBank genome assembly